This 564-nucleotide long non-coding RNA is filed under the name Homo sapiens (human). RNAcentral describes it as "non-protein coding lnc-ENPP1-6:3". The record is from RNAcentral. Lineage: Eukaryota; Metazoa; Chordata; Mammalia; Primates; Hominidae.
AAGCACCAGGUGCUAUUGGAAAAAUUAAUAGCCUAAGAUUGUUUUGGAGUAAGAAGAAUGUAAAUUAAUUAAUCCUAUAAACAUGCAUGCUAUAGCAUUGUAUGGUUUGUCCUUCCAGGAAAAAGCUAAAACCUCACCUAUAUUGUUAAUAUAUAUAUAUUUUUUACAUUAUUUAAAUGAGUGAAUUUUUGCUUCCUUUGUUGGUUUUGCAUAAAGAUAUUCAUAUUAGCAUAAUGUAGAUAAAUCUCAUGAGUUAAUUAUUCACUAAAUCAAAUUUAAAAUUAGUUUCCAUUUCUAAGUCAAAGGUUGAGUUGUUCCACAUGUGUUGUGUGGAAUAAUUGAAAAUCAUUAUUAAUUAGUACAUGCUGCUGGUGACUGAGAUCCCUCUCAAAAAUUUCUGAGCUUGGUUUGAAACCUAAAAAUAAGAAAAUAAGAAUAAACAUAAGUUCAAUCUACAAUCCAUAGAAACGACAUUGUAUUUCUAGUCCUUUUAAAACUUAACCAAAAGUCUUUAUUGAUUCACCACAUUUGCCAGUACAAUGCAGAUGGGAAAAUGAAUAAAGG